GACGAACUGCCCUAACGCUGUUCGGAAUCACUGGGCAUAAAGGGCGCGUAGGCGGCGAAUCAAGUCAGGGGUGAAAUCCGGCAGCUCAACUGUCGAAGUGCCUUUGAUACUGAUUUGCUCGAGGGAGGUAGGGGUCUGUGGAACUUCUGGUGGAGCGGUGAAAUGCGUUGAUAUCAGAAGGAACGCCGGUGGCGAAAGCGACGGACUGGACCUUUUCUGACGCUGAGGCGCGAAAGCUAGGGGAGCAAACGGG
This 253-nucleotide ribosomal RNA is filed under the name uncultured bacterium. Its description in RNAcentral is "partial 16S ribosomal RNA". It matches the Rfam family "Bacterial small subunit ribosomal RNA", at positions 524 to 776 of the family's 1533-position model. The record is from RNAcentral.